Molecule: unclassified non-coding RNA, 224 nt
Filed under: plant metagenome
Description: partial contains small subunit ribosomal RNA, internal transcribed spacer 1, and 5.8S ribosomal RNA
Source: RNAcentral
UCUCCGUUGGUGAACCAGCGGAGGGAUCAUUACAGGACUCGCAAGACUCCUUCACCCUGUGAACCUCACUACAAGCACGUUGCUUCGGCGGGUGUCCCGGCGGGGGUUUUCCCUCGCCGGGGCGCACAGCCCGCCGGCAGCCUACUAUACUCUGUCUAUUUGCGUUGGCAUCUCGAGAAAAAACAAACAAGUUAAAACUUUCAGCAACGGAUCUCUUGGUUCUG